RNAcentral lists this ribosomal RNA (497 nucleotides) under uncultured bacterium. RNAcentral's name for it is "partial 16S ribosomal RNA". It matches the Rfam family "Bacterial small subunit ribosomal RNA", at positions 28 to 507 of the family's 1533-position model. The record is from RNAcentral.
GAUGAACGCUGGCGGCGUGCCUAAUACAUGCAAGUCGAGCGAACAGACGAGGAGCUUGCUCCUCUGACGUUAGCGGCAGACGGGUGAGUAACACGUGGAUAACCUACCUAUAAGACUGGGAUAACUUCGGGAAACCGGAGCUAAUACCGGAUAAUAUAUUGAACCGCAUGGUUCAAUAGUGAAAGACGGUUUUGCUGUCACUUAUAGAUGGAUCCGCGCCGCAUUAGCUAGUUGGUAAGGUAACGGCUUACCAAGGCAACGAUGCGUAGCCGACCUGAGAGGGUGAUCGGCCACACUGGAACUGAGACACGGUCCAGACUCCUACGGGAGGCAGCAGUAGGGAAUCUUCCGCAAUGGGCGAAAGCCUGACGGAGCAACGCCGCGUGAGUGAUGAAGGUCUUCGGAUCGUAAAACUCUGUUAUUAGGGAAGAACAAAUGUGUAAGUAACUAUGCACGUCUUGACGGUACCUAAUCAGAAAGCCACGGCCAACUACGUG